AGCAUAUCAAUAAGCGGAGGAAAAGAAACUAACAAGGAUUCCCCUAGUAACUGCGAGUGAGGCGGGAAAAGCUCAAAUUUGAAAUCUGGCGGUUCUGCCGUCCGAGUUGUAUUCUGGAGAAGUGCCUUCUGUGCCGGACCGUGUACAAGUCCCUUGGAACAGGGCGUCAUAGAGGGUGAGAAUCCCGUCUUUGACACGGACCCCCGGUGCUAUGUGAUGCGCUCUCGAAGAGUCGAGUUGUUUGGGAAUGCAGCUCAAAACGGGUGGAAAAUUCCAUCUAAAGCUAAAUAUUGGCGAGAGACCGAUAGCGAACAAGUACCGUGAGGGAAAGAUGAAAAGCACUUUGGAAAGAGAGUAAAACAGUACGUGAAAUUGUUGAAAGGGAAACGCUUGAAGUCAGUCGCGUCUGCCGGAACUCAGCCUUGCUUCUGCUUGGUGCACUUUCCGGUCUGACGGGCCAGCAUCGGUNUNGUGAGGCGGACACGGGUGGGGGGAAGGUGGCGGCUCCGGCCGUGUUAUAGCCCUCCAUCGCAAACGUCUCGUGGGACCGAGGAAUCCGGCGCAAGCCUGGGAUGCUGGCGUAAUGGCUUUAAACGACCCGUCU
Molecule: ribosomal RNA, 604 nt
Filed under: uncultured fungus
Lineage: Eukaryota; Fungi
Description: eukaryotic LSU rRNA
Rfam family: Eukaryotic large subunit ribosomal RNA
Source: RNAcentral